This 1452-nucleotide long non-coding RNA is filed under the name Homo sapiens (human). RNAcentral describes it as "long non-coding RNA NONHSAT166780.1". The record is from RNAcentral. Lineage: Eukaryota; Metazoa; Chordata; Mammalia; Primates; Hominidae.
GUAAUUGCCUGUAGUCACAUUGCUAAAUUCAUUGAGAGUUACACAAAAUCCAGAAUAUAUUGUCUGUUCCUAAAUUAUAUAUAUUUAGAUUCUGGAAUUACUAGGAGGAAUUAGAAGUCAUUCAGAUAAAAAUUCAUACUUAACAAGAGUAUCUAGGAAAGAGAUUCAGCCCAUCCCAAUAUUGAGCAGCUUUCCUUAUCAGAAAGUUUUAUUUUCUGUUUCACAGAUUGCUCAUGACCUUUAAUACAUUUUUCUGAAUGAACCCUGGAGGGAGGUGAGAAGUAGCAGUUUUGUUCAUCUCUUCUUUUUGUCCUUUAUCUCUCUGCCACUGUUCUCACCUCAUCCUAAAACCUGGUCAGGAGGGUUUGAAACCUAUCAGAACUAAAGGUUAAUAUCUCAUCUCCCUCAGGCUUUUUUCAUUUAAAAAAAAAAUGGGUAUAUUAGUUAAAUUAGAAUACUUGUUGUAGAAUUAUUGUCAAAGGGGAAGGGAAAUACAUCUAGGGGAAACAUCAUGUCUUUUAGGCCCUUUAUGUCACUGAAUGACUUAAGGCUCGACAAAUGAUAUUCUUGGAAAGUUUAAUCUUGAGGUUUUCAAAUCUUUUUUUUUAAUGUCUCCCAUGUUUCUCAUUUGCUGAUUGAUUCAUUAGUUGCUCUUAGUAAGAUUUGUCAGUUGGAAAUAAUGAAGGCUGAGACUCAUUUCUAAACUCUUCCAUAACCAUCACCAGAAGAGCAGCCACUGUGUUGUGUGAUGUAGGCUAAUGCCUCCCAGAUAGAGGUAAAGUCACAAGGACUAUUAGAAUUCCAGUGGAUUGUGGAACUGGUUUUGGAUUAUCCUUAUAUUUUCAUUCUGAUUACUGAGGCAGUUCUGAAAACUCCUACCAUUGAAAUAGUGGUGUGUCUUUUCCUUGUUUAAGGAUUUUACAUCAUUUUUAUGCACUUGAAUUCCAAAAUCAGAAUCUCUCUUUUACCUAUCAACCUUUAUUGGCUAUUGGCUUUUGGCAAUGACCUUUCUGUUCAAAUGUAGUCCUGUCUCUUUGUUUCCUUAGGGAGUAGAACCUGUCCUUUUUCUCAUCUUUCAUUUUUUUGACGUGUCCUUUCUAAGAGAAGGCUCUCUGCCGCCUGUUCUGGGUGAUAAGUGAUAUUUUCAUCUAAUCGUUAUGUGGUUGGGAUGAUCAUGGUGAAAUACUAGGAAGACAUACUCUGUUGAUGGACUUUUUCUCUCCAAAUAAUCCCAAAUAGAUUAUUUUCUAGUGAAUGGUUUAUAUCUUUCUCGUCACAAAAAUGUUCCUUUGAUUUCUAGCACAAGGUACAGCAGGAUGCAAAUGAUUCUCAGAUAAAAUGAUGUUGACAGUAUUUCCUUAACAAUUUAUGUAAAACUAUGCAUAAUUUUCAUUCUAACUUUUGACAUUUUUCUCCAUAAAUAAAAGUAAUGCCUGAUGUUUAGUUAAAAGU